AUUGAACGCUGGCGGCAUGCUUUACACAUGCAGGUCGAACGGUAACAGGCCGCAAGGUGCUGACGAGUGGCGAACGGGUGAGUAAUGCAUCGGAACGUGCCCAGUCGCGGGGGAUAACGCAGCGAAAGCUGUGCUAAUACCGCAUACGAUCUAUGGAUGAAAGCGGGGGACCGUAAGGCCUCGAGCGAUUGGAGCGGCCGAUGUCAGAUUAGGUAGUUGGUGGGGUAAAGGCUCACCAAGCCAACGAUCUGUAGCUGGUCUGAGAGGACGACCAGCCACACUGGGACUGAGACACGGCCCAGACUCCUACGGGAGGCAGCAGUGGGGAAUUUUGGACAAUGGGCGCAAGCCUGAUCCAGCAAUGCCGCGUGCAGGAAGAAGGCCUUCGGGUUGUAAACUGCUAUUGUACGGAACGAAAAGGUUUGGGUUAAUACCCUGGGCCGAUGACGGUACCGUAAGAAUAAGCACCGGCUAACUACGUGCCAGCAGCCGCGGAAA
This 498-nucleotide ribosomal RNA is filed under the name uncultured bacterium. RNAcentral's name for it is "partial 16S ribosomal RNA". It matches the Rfam family "Bacterial small subunit ribosomal RNA", at positions 29 to 523 of the family's 1533-position model. The record is from RNAcentral.